GGGGGGUUACCGAAGCGGUCAAACGGGACAGACUGUAAAUCUGUUGGCUAUGCCUUCGCAGGUUCGAAUCCUGCACCCCCCA
RNAcentral lists this transfer RNA (82 nucleotides) under Devosia sp. RNAcentral's name for it is "tRNA-Tyr". It matches the Rfam family "tRNA". From Rfam's summary of the family: Transfer RNA (tRNA) molecules are approximately 80 nucleotides in length. Lineage: Bacteria; Pseudomonadati; Pseudomonadota; Alphaproteobacteria; Hyphomicrobiales; Devosiaceae. RNAcentral also lists the same sequence under 7 other names. The record is from RNAcentral.